This is a long non-coding RNA of Chiroxiphia lanceolata (lance-tailed manakin), 913 nucleotides long. RefSeq lists it as uncharacterized. The transcript has 4 exons. NCBI's taxonomy places the organism in Eukaryota, Metazoa, Chordata, Aves, Passeriformes, Pipridae. The record is from RefSeq and is a predicted model, not a curated record.
GUGGAAUCUUCAGCCGUUGGAACGUCCUGUGGUAUUAUCAGAAAUUCCCUUUCCAAGUCUGCUGAGCUCCUGAUGCCCAGGAUGUGCUCUAUCAGAGGGGAAGUGGUCAGUUAUAACAGGAUUUCGUGUUCACUCUGCCAGUUGCCCAGAUAAAAGCAAUGUUUAAUUAUACAGCAGCCCUGAAAGGAGAUGCAGGAGAUCCUCCUGUGAUGGAGAUCGCACCGCUCCCAGAAGGAUGCCAGUGAUGAGGCUGAUUCCUUGCUGGCAAAACCUUUGCUUAUCCAGGAGCAAUUUGGCUGAAUCCACCAUCUUAUUUGACAGGUGUUCAGCAAUCCAAACAGAAAUUAGAGAGUCACAGACUCUUUGGGUUGGAAAAGGCCUUUAAGAUCAUCAAGUCCAAAUGCUUCUUCCAAGGCAAACAGCAGUGACAGAUGCACAGGCUGUUAUUAUAUUUAGUUCUUUGUCUGAGAGGGCCAGACUGGGUGGAGGUAGCUGAGUGCACACAGUGGAUGGAGCUCAGGUAUGAUGGAAGGGAGAUAUUGUCUGUUUAAGAGUUAAAUUUAAAAGGCAGGAGAUUGAUAACUGAUAAACAGGGUUUUACCAGGCACUGUCCAACGGUGCUUGUCACCACGAGAGCCAAGUACUUCACGAGAGUGGAAGAGGGACUGGGCACUUUUAUGGAUAUCAAGCAUAUCCAGAGUAAUGAUUAACUAUAUCAAUUUUUGUACUGUAAUUAGAAUAAUUUUUCAUGCUUCAGGGCUUGAACCAAUUUCUGUAUAUGAGAGACCAGGAAGAGAUUUAUGGCAGAAACAGAUUAAAGGCAUGUGCACACAGCAAAGCUCCAGCCUUUUCUUCUGACACAUCUACUGUUCCAGGACAAGGUCCUGGGCUGGGAUGGACCCUGGGUCUGCCU